GUGGGGAAUCUUGCGCAAUGCGCGAAAGCGUGACGCAGCAACGCCGCGUGAGGGAAGACGGCCUUCGGGUUGUAAACCUCUUUCAGUUGGGACGAAGCCACGGCGGUUAAUACCCGUCUGUGGUGACGGUACCUUCAGAAGAAGCCCCGGCUAACUACGUGCCAGCAGCCGCGGUAAUACGUAGGGGGCAAGCGUUGUCCGGAAUCAUUGGGCGUAAAGCGCGUGUAGGCGGCUUGGUAAGUCCGCUCUGAAAGCCCGGGGCUCAACCCCGGGAGGCGGGUGGAUACUGUCAAGCUCGAGUCCGGAAGAGGCGAGUGGAAUUCCUGGUGUAGCGGUGAAAUGCGCAGAUAUCAGGAGGAACACCAAUGGCGAAGGCAGCUCGCUGGGACGUGACUGACGCUGAGACGCGAAAGCGUGGGGAGCAAACAGGAUUAGAAACCCGGGUAGUCC
Molecule: ribosomal RNA, 450 nt
Filed under: uncultured bacterium
Lineage: Bacteria
Description: bacterial SSU rRNA
Rfam family: Bacterial small subunit ribosomal RNA
Source: RNAcentral